CAAUAGCGUAUAUUAAAGUUGUUGCGGUUAAAAAGCUCGUAGUUGGAUUUCUGCUGAGAACGACCGGUCCGCCCUUUGGGUGUGUAUCUGGCUCUUUCUUGGCAUCUUCUUGGUGAACGUUGCUGCACUUGACUGUGUGGAGCGCUACCCAGGACUUUUACUUUGAGGAAAUUAGAGUGUUUCAAGCAGGCAUACGCCUUGAAUACAUUAGCAUGGAAUAAUAAGAUAGGACCUCGGUUCUAUUUUGUUGGUUUCUAGAGCUGAGGUAAUGAUUAAUAGGGAUAGUUGGGGGCAUUCGUAUUUAACUGUCAGAGGUGAAAUUCUUGGGUUCGUUAAAGACGGACUACUGCGAAAGCAUUUGCCAAGGAUGUUUUCAUUGA
RNAcentral lists this ribosomal RNA (380 nucleotides) under uncultured eukaryote. RNAcentral describes it as "partial 18S ribosomal RNA". It matches the Rfam family "Eukaryotic small subunit ribosomal RNA", at positions 592 to 976 of the family's 1831-position model. The record is from RNAcentral.